RNAcentral lists this long non-coding RNA (211 nucleotides) under Gossypium barbadense (sea-island cotton). RNAcentral's name for it is "long non-coding RNA (GBAR_LNC002899)". Lineage: Eukaryota; Viridiplantae; Streptophyta; Magnoliopsida; Malvales; Malvaceae. The record is from RNAcentral.
AAAAAGAGAGAUUACAAGCUCGGAUAGCCGAACUGGAAAAAUCGCUACAUCUGCAUCGUAGCCGUAACUCCGUAAUUGAGUUAAAGACCAGCUUAAGCAAAAUCGAGGAGUUGAAAGGAAAAAUAGAGGAACUCGAGUCGACACUAUAAGAUAGCAAAAGUCGAGUGGAAUUCCUUGAGGCAAACAAUAAACAUUGCAAAGAACAACUUCA